AAUGGGGGUGAAUCUCAGUUUAGCUUAACAAAUUCUAGACCAAAUAGUGCAAAAUUCUUGUAUAACGAGCAGAGUUUAGAAGCAUUAAAUAAUGAGCUUAAUAUACUAUGAUUGGUGAAAUAUAUAAUAUCGUAAACAUGUAAUAAAUGCAGGAAAUGAUUUGGAUUAUAGUGUAAAAGAACUGUCACCCAAUGAAUGUGUGAUAGGGUGCUUCCUUUCUCCGACGUCGUGGAAAAAUGUUCAAUCAAUAUGUGUAUGGGAUCUCGAGAAUUAUGAAUAAAGGUUGAACAACAUAUGCUUGAAUGGAAGGAAUAAGACAACUCUGCCGUAUAUUUUUCUUUGAACUUUACAAUGUCUAUUAGUUCUCGAAAAGGCAGAUCCCCUCAUCGUUCACUAUCUCCUCCUAUUUAUAAGGGGCAUUCCCCAAAAACCCUUAAAAAGUACAACAUGAAGAAUAUAUAUCGAAGUUUAAGUUACCGUUAUUGACUUAUCUCAGCUGCCUGCUUCUAGUUGCCGGCCUUCAUUUGAACAACCGUCGGUCGUUGUGAUGUGGUCGACCCCGUCAUAUGUCUUGCUUACCCGUUACCGUUGUUACCAAAUUUGGACAUAUGCAGUACUAUACUUAGAAAAUUUUAAAAGGUUCCACGAAUAUUUUGCAAGCUUGCACUUAAGUGUGUGAUCUGGUUAUGAAUGAAGUGGGUGUAAACCUUUGUGAUUAGGAUUCAAAUCUGAUAUAAAUAGAAAAUAUUAGAUGAUUAUUUCAUUCCCCUAUUUUGGUCGUUAAAGUUAUUUGAUAUCUGUACUAACAGGAGGUAGCAGGUACCCCAAGAAAUCAGAGGCAAAUUUGGAAUUUCUAGAAUGCACUAACAAGAGGUAGCAGGUACCCCAAGAAAUCAGACGCAAAUUUGGGAUUUCUAAAACAUGGGUGCACCACUAAAGAAAAAAGAAAAAAGUAUUAAGUAAGAAUUGAACUCUAUUCUUUGGGUAAGUAACUCAACAUUCUAUUAAGUGCACCAGUUGACCUUUUUGGAGUAUGAGGACAAUCAUAUAGUAUUAGAUCAAUUCAAAAAUAUGUACAUAAAUAAUUUAAUUUGACAGCAAGACUAUGAAUUCACGUGCCAGGGCACUAGAUUCUCCCCUUGCGGAAAUAGUCGAAGUUGUGCAAGCUAACCCAAUCUCUACCGGCUUAUUAGCUAAAUUUUAAUGGAAUCUUGUUCACGUAUUUUUUCUUCUUAUCAAAAGUGUACCAACAGUUAGAGUAUCCAAGGCGUACAACAAUUCUUUAUGAAUGAACAAUCGAAAUGUUUUUGGAGAAUCUUCAAAAUUAAAUAUUAAUCUUGAGUGGUAAAAUGCUUAGAGACUGAAGAAAGACCUCUGGGAAGAAUGGAUAAUUGCAUCAGAACACCAACAUUAUAAAAAGUGAAAAAUAUUUUAAUUGGCAAAUAAAUUAUUUAUGGAUAUGGAGAUUAUAACGUUUCUUAAAAUAUGUUAGCGUGUUGAAUAGGGUGGCAGAGGGGUCCCUAGGAC
This 1527-nucleotide long non-coding RNA is filed under the name Nicotiana benthamiana. Its description in RNAcentral is "long non-coding RNA (NBEN_LNC021185)". The record is from RNAcentral. Lineage: Eukaryota; Viridiplantae; Streptophyta; Magnoliopsida; Solanales; Solanaceae.